UCCUCUCCAAAUCCAUCUCAUCCAAAUCAAUAAAACAACUCUCCUCUUAUUCAUAAAUUUCAUUAACCCUUCCCUUUAAUUCAAGAAGCAUCAACGGUUUGCUAAUGUUAGCGUUAUAGUAUAGCUUGAAUUUUGAAUAAAAUUUAAGACUCCAAUUGUGAUUCAAAUCGAAUAUUUAUAAUAGGCUAAAGGCCCAUGUAGAAAUGGGUAGGCGUAAUUAAAAAUUCUGGUUUCAUCGAUUAGCUAGCCAACCGCCUCUUUUGAACUCUGGAAAACUCUGGAGCACCUGAAUUGUGAUUGGCAAUGUCACAGUGUGAGUGACAAUGAGAGUGAUGACGAUGAAUCGGCGAUCGUUCCGAAACCCUAAACGAAAAAGGAGUUAUAGCCUUUUAUUGAUAGAGAUUUGAAGGACAUCAAAGUCUCCAAACUUAUAAGCUGGUAGGACAUGAAAGUUUCAGAGAAUAAGGUACUCUCUCUCCAUUUCCCUCCAUGGGUUUUCAUCUUUAUUGAGUUUAAUGUGUUAUUUACAUAUGGAGAUGGUUGAAUCCAUAGGCUAUUUGAUUUGAUGGUUCCUGAUGAAUAAUCCCUCCUGCUAGAACCAAAAGGUUUUGUGAUUAGCUAUUAGAAUCAGUAAGAAUGUAACUAAUCCAUUUCUUGCCUCCUCCGUUUAUCUCUUCUUUGGCCGAUUCAAAAUUAACGACAAAUUCAAUAAAUCAAAAUCAAUACAAAUCAAUGAAGAUGAUCAUAAUUAGUGGGAAAUUGUGGUCGGACCUUCCACGGGAUAGAACUUGUGUUUUCAAUAGUGAUAGAUCAAGUGGUAGGUUCUCCGUUCGGGAGUUUGAGGUGCAGCUGUUGGCGGUGUGUAGAUCGACGGACCACGGAUGAAAUAUGUUGAGGAAGAGGGAUAGGGUAGUGGAGCAAGAGAGCUAGUGGUUUUCUCGAGGCCAGAAAAGCCAUCAGUGGGGUGAGGCAGGGCCAUAAAUUAUUGAUUUCAGAUAUAAAGAUAAAUUAUCUAUUAAGAGAAAAAAAAUAAUAUGUUCAAAUUUUCAAUUAUAAUAAUAAUAGAGUAAAAAAAUAUUUAUGACAUAAUAAAUUCUCACAAUAAAUGUCUUUAAUUUUAAAUAUUAUUAUAAGAAAUUUUAAUAGUAUUAUAAUUUUACAUCUUAUAGUAUUAUAUCUAUGAAAACAUUUCUAACAGUAUAAUAAUAUUAAGGGAAAAUUAUUAUAGAGUUUCUAAAUUUUAAUAAAAUUUAUUAGUUAGUUUUUAUAAUUUUUAGUUUUAACUAAAAUAUUUUUUAUAUUUUUAAAAUAUAAUAAUUACAUUCUUUUGUUAAUAAUUAUGAUAGUCAAAAGAAAAUUUAACAGUUAAAUGUGCGAGAAUAUUUAGAAAUUACAAAAUUAAUCUUAACAUUCUUGGAAAUUUGCUCUUGAUAUCCACAUUAAUUUCUCAAUCAAAACCAAAUUAAUUAUAUGAAAAACAUAUUCAUUCAUCCAUCAAAUCCAUAUUCAUUCUACAAAAUUAAUAUAAUUCAUCCAUCAAAUCCAGAUUCAUUCUACAAAAUCAAUAUAAUUCAUCCAUCAAAAUUAAAUUUAUUCAAGAAAAUUAAUAUCACUUAUUUAUCAAAUUCAGAAGUCAACAUCUUCAAGAAAUCUAAGUUCUGGUACGAUGAAUAGAAGAAAUAAAUUGCAACAGAGUGAAAAAGUUGUCUAACAAAUACUCUCGCAUCUUCAACAAAUUCAUCUUCCCCUUUCAUUGUCGACGUCGUUAUCCAUAAAAUGAAUAACAAAAGGACUCAAAUCCAGAAUCGCAGCUCACUCUCGAAUUUCAAUAUCCUCAUCGUUGCCGUGUUUGUUGACUUCAAAAUUGUAGCGUUCGUCGAUCCCAGCAUCGCAACGUCUUCCGAUCGGAAUGAGAGGACUAGGAAGAUAAUUUGUUUUAGAUUAAAUGAGAGGAUCAAAAAAGAAAGAGGGAGAAGGGGAGAUUAGUUUCUGCAUUUAGAGAUUAGAUUAGAGUAUUUAAAACUUUUUACAUAAGAGAUAUUUUAAUUAAAGUUAAAAGUUAUAAGGAUUAACUAAUAAUUCAAGAAUUUUAUAAUAAUUUUUUUUAAUAUUAUAUAAAAAUUAAAAUAUAAAAUAUUUUUACAUAUCUCUAUAUCGUUUAUUAGAUUAAAAGUGAAAUUUAUAAAUGAAAUAUAUAGCUAAAAUUUAUUAAAAUUUGAACUUUUAUUUAUAUUAUUUCAAAUUUUAUUAAUUUCAAUGCAAUUAAUUUAGUAUAAUAAUUAGACAUAUUUUAUAUAUUAUUAUAUAUUUCAAAAAAAAAAUUAUAAAGUUUAGUGGGUCGAUUCCACUCCACUGGAGAAAUUAUAGAAUGAAUCAUUGUCUAUAUAAAUAAAAACUAGACGACUAUAUAAAAAUAAAAAAAAAAAUAAUUAUUUUUAUGAUGUAAGCAUCUUGCCGCUAUUCGACAACAGAGGGGGAGAGAGAGGGCUUCCUGAGAUAAUGAGGUGAGGGAGGGGCUGGAGAGGAGGGAUAUGGACAGAGACAGGGGAGGGUUGCAUUUGUAACGAGUGUGUUUUAAUCUUUUUCAUAUUGAUGGAGAAUGAUCAUAUAGUUGCUAGAAUAAUCCUCAAUAUAAUUUUCAAAAUAUAAAGAACGACUAGUAAUAAUAAAAAUAAUACCUGAAAACUAAAUUGUUCCAGCGAUUAAAGCAAAUAGAGGGGGCUUCUCUUACAAUAUUUACUCAAAUUUGAUUAUGCUUAUCAUCUAAAAGAAAUGAUUAACAGUAAUGACAGCUGCCAAAGAUAUGAAGUUUAUAAUUCACUUGUCAAUUUUACUUAAAAGUCUAAGGAAAGCAAUAAAGAGAACUGAUAUUGGCUACAUGCUUUCAGGUCUUUGGGAAUUCUUUGCUUUUAAGCUGAACUGGAAUGCAUUUGGCUACAAAACCAAUUGGCCAAGACACAGCUGCAAUGGCAAUGCAAACACCCCAUUGCCCCCAAUUUAGCCUCUCGGUCCCUGCAAAUCUCCUCAGAAGCUCAACCAUCAGCACUUGAAGAACAAUGGUAAUUCCAAUGAUCGCUAAGAACAAUUUGUUCUUAUGUAUUCCUCUGAAUAUAUUCUUCUUUUCCAUGUUCCUUGCAUUGAACUCAUUAAAGACUUGACACAGGACAAAAGUAUUGAAGACGAUAGUAUUCUUUACCUUCUCAUUCACACCAAAGAUGGAUUUUGCUUUGAAUUCUAGAAUAAGCAAGACAGCAACCUGAUACAACGCUUGGGCAAUGAGAUUCCUCCACAUGAUUUUGGUGAU
RNAcentral lists this long non-coding RNA (3304 nucleotides) under Manihot esculenta (cassava). RNAcentral describes it as "long non-coding RNA (MESC_LNC005010)". Lineage: Eukaryota; Viridiplantae; Streptophyta; Magnoliopsida; Malpighiales; Euphorbiaceae. The record is from RNAcentral.